GGGGCUGAUUCUGGAUUCGACGGGAUUUGCGAAACCCAAGGUGCAUGCCGAGGGGCGGUUGGCCUCGUAAAAAGCCGCAAAAAAUAGUCGCAAACGACGAAAACUACGCUUUAGCAGCUUAAUAACCUGCUUAGAGCCCUCUCUCCCUAGCCUCCGCUCUUAGGACGGGGAUCAAGAGAGGUCAAACCCAAAAGAGAUCGCGUGGAAGCCCUGCCUGGGGUUGAAGCGUUAAAACUUAAUCAGGCUAGUUUGUUAGUGGCGUGUCCGUCCGCAGCUGGCAAGCGAAUGUAAAGACUGACUAAGCAUGUAGUACCGAGGAUGUAGGAAUUUCG
This 332-nucleotide transfer-messenger RNA is filed under the name Escherichia coli. RNAcentral's name for it is "partial transfer-messenger RNA". It matches the Rfam family "transfer-messenger RNA". Rfam says of the family: Bacterial tmRNA, also known as 10Sa RNA or SsrA, is named for its dual tRNA and mRNA-like properties. Its role is to liberate the mRNA from a stalled ribosome. To accomplish this part of the tmRNA is used as a reading frame that ends in a translation stop signal. Lineage: Bacteria; Pseudomonadati; Pseudomonadota; Gammaproteobacteria; Enterobacterales; Enterobacteriaceae. RNAcentral also lists the same sequence under 2 other names. The record is from RNAcentral.